Molecule: long non-coding RNA, 1062 nt
Filed under: Olea europaea subsp. europaea
Lineage: Eukaryota; Viridiplantae; Streptophyta; Magnoliopsida; Lamiales; Oleaceae
Source: RNAcentral
UUUCUCUCAUUCAAAAAUAAUUUUCAUCUUAAAAAUGGCUCGUCUUCAGUUGCUACUUGAACUUUGGUUGCCUCAAAUGAAGAUGAAACAGUAUCUGUGACUAAUGUCAUCAUGUAAAACUGAACUAAAAUGGAAAUAUCUUUUUAAUCUCUUUCUCAUGUUGAAUAUGCUUCUCUUCAUUGUUGUACAACAUUGGCAUUUUUAAACUAUUGGUGUAAAAGAUCUAUAGUUCUUUACCUCCCCCCAACAGCAAGUAAAGUACCCUCAUUGUUAAAUGUCAGUGCUAAUUGUUGGCCAACAUCUUCUAAUAUCUCAAGAACUUUCUGAGAUGAUUUCGGGCUCAAAGGAAGCUCAUCUUUGCUCAUGGUUGCAUCCCAGUCAAACCAUCUGCACUUAAUCAUGUAAUUCGUGAGAAUAUAAAUGAAGCUUCAUUAUAGCUAUCUGUGCUAAAAUAUAAUUUUUUCAAGAUGCUUUGUUAUGCCAUACGGCAAAUAGUAACAUUUUUUUUUCUGCACUAAGCAUUUAAUGGGAAAAGUAUAGUUCAACAAAUUCAUUCAUAAGAGCAUUUUUAAUUAAACUCAACCUUCAAUUCCAACACAAGAAGGAUGACUUUCAGGUCCCACAAUAAUGUAGUACCGACGUACUCGGUCACAAUUGAGAUGACACAGCCACCACCAAACCAAAAAACAUAAAGCAAAUAGGUAAAAUGAAAGAUCUUGAGUAUAUUUGAAAAAUAUAUCUUCAAGAUAAAACUUCAUUAAUGUCAAACUGUAAUUUCAUGGAAAUCCCGUGCAAAUAUGGCUGCAUUUGGUCGUUGUGGAAGUUGAAUGGGAAGUUUAUCCUAGAAAAUUGAUGAAAUAAAAGUUUUAGAAUUUUUAAAAAUAAAAUAAAGUAUGGUCUAAUAUUUGGAUACCAAAAGUUUUCCCAAAAGAAAGCAGAUCACUAUGCAAUCAUUAAUAAAUAAUAUUUCAAUUAGAAAACGAAGCAAAUUACACCCAUGGUAGUUAUCUUGCGCUCUAACCGUUCGAGGACAGGGGAAGCGAUUCUGAUCUGAGCUCUAAG